RNAcentral lists this ribosomal RNA (253 nucleotides) under uncultured bacterium. RNAcentral describes it as "partial 16S ribosomal RNA". It matches the Rfam family "Bacterial small subunit ribosomal RNA", at positions 524 to 776 of the family's 1533-position model. The record is from RNAcentral.
GACGUAGGGCGCAAGCGUUGUCCGGAUUUAUUGGGCGUAAAGAGCUCGUAGGCGGCUCGUUGCGUCGGCUGUGAAAUCCCUCGGCUCAACUGAGGAUCGUCGAUCGAUACUGCCGUUCUUGAGGAUUGCAGAGGAGACUGGAAUUCCCGGUGUAGCGGUGAAAUGUGUAGAGAUCGGGAGGAACACCGGUGGCGAAGGCGGGUCUCUGGGCAAUUCCUGACGCUGAGGCGCGAAAGCGUGGGGAGCAAACGGG